This 84-nucleotide non-coding RNA is filed under the name Pseudobacteroides cellulosolvens. RNAcentral's name for it is "c-di-GMP sequence". It matches the Rfam family "c-di-GMP-I riboswitch aptamer". Rfam says of the family: GEMM was predicted in a large-scale screen for bacterial structured RNA regulatory elements. Genes associated with GEMM are involved in a diverse array of functions, including chemotaxis regulation, signal transduction, secretion and chitin. The record is from RNAcentral. RNAcentral also lists the same sequence under 1 other name. Lineage: Bacteria; Bacillati; Bacillota; Clostridia; Eubacteriales; Oscillospiraceae.
UAUGAAACAGGGCAAAGUCUUUGAAAGAAGAUGACGCAAAGCCGUGGGUCUAAAGCUAAAAGCUAUGAUUGCCAGGUCGCCAUU